RNAcentral lists this ribosomal RNA (253 nucleotides) under uncultured bacterium. RNAcentral describes it as "partial 16S ribosomal RNA". It matches the Rfam family "Bacterial small subunit ribosomal RNA", at positions 524 to 776 of the family's 1533-position model. The record is from RNAcentral.
UACGUAGGGUGCGAGCGUUAAUCGGAAUUACUGGGCGUAAAGUGUGCGCAGGUGGCCGCGCAAGUCGAGUGUGAAAUCCCCGAGCUUAACUUGGGAAUUGCGCUCGAAACUACGUGGCUCGAGUGUGGCAGAGGAAGGUGGAAUUCCACGUGUAGCGGUGAAAUGCGCAGAUAUCAGGAGGAACACCGGUGGCGAAGGCGGGUCUCUGGGCCGAUAUCGACGCUGAGGAGCGAAAGCGUGGGGAGCGAACAGG